CAGUAGCCACGGGAAUACGUAGGUGGCAAGCGUUGUCCGGAAUUAUUGGGCGUAAAGGGCUCGCAGGCGGUUUCUUAAGUCUGAUGUGAAAGCCCCCGGCUCAACCGGGGAGGGUCAUUGGAAACUGGGAAACUUGAGUGCAGAAGAGGAGAGUGGAAUUCCACGUGUAGCGGUGAAAUGCGUAGAGAUGUGGAGGAACACAAGUGGCGAAGGCGACUCUCUGGUCUGUAACUGACGCUGAGGAGCGAAAGCGUGGGGAGCGAACAGGAUUAGAUACCCGCGUAGUCCCUGUCUCUUAUAC
RNAcentral lists this ribosomal RNA (301 nucleotides) under uncultured bacterium. RNAcentral describes it as "partial 16S ribosomal RNA". It matches the Rfam family "Bacterial small subunit ribosomal RNA", at positions 509 to 807 of the family's 1533-position model. The record is from RNAcentral.